This 748-nucleotide long non-coding RNA is filed under the name Olea europaea (common olive). RNAcentral's name for it is "long non-coding RNA (OEUR_LNC004871)". Lineage: Eukaryota; Viridiplantae; Streptophyta; Magnoliopsida; Lamiales; Oleaceae. The record is from RNAcentral.
UGGGUAUCUGUCUUUUUGCCUGCGCUAGUAAUGCCACUGCCUCGUCCCUUUUCUUAGCCUUGUAACAACAUUACACAUGUACAAUCCACAAACAAAUAUUUAUAACCUCUUCAAAAUUGAAAUUGGAACAUUUGUUUAUUUGUAGCUUAACCAAUAGAAUAAUUUGUCUUACAAUUACACAUGUCCUGCUCCAUUAUGUACAGUUUAUCUCAUUCUCACUUGCAAUUGAAUCCACCUCACUUGUUCUCAAAACUACAUCCAGCACAUUGACAGGGGCAAAUACAAUCACAACUUUUUUAUUCCUCAAAAAAUCAUGAAAAAUAACAUAACCCAAUUUAAAUAAUUUCUUACUUUCCCUGAAUAAAGUAAGAAAUAAAUUUGUGUUUAAUGCAUUAACUAAAAAAAAUCACAAAAUCAAAUAAAAUAGAGCCGGAAAAUAAAGAUUUCACAGAACUACCAAAAUCGGAGAUUAUGUUUCCAGUUACAAUAAGUUACUCGAGGAGGUAUUUAUGCACGAGCAUGUCUGGGGAAGUCUGAAGCUCAAUCGAGUACAGAAAGAGCUCUGGAUCGUGAGAAGGCGUAGUAUGUCCUUCAAUUGUUUCAAGGACGACAACUUUACAGCUGAAUCCCCAUGGUUCUUCGUCGAAGUGAAGAGAGGAAACGCCUGUUCCUGCGCGGGUCGAGCCAUGGAAUAAGUGAGGCCUUCUGUGUAACUAUAUUCGACUUAUCUGGAAGAGGGAGAUUCGGG